Molecule: ribosomal RNA, 320 nt
Filed under: Asterionellopsis glacialis
Lineage: Eukaryota; Bacillariophyta; Plagiogrammaphyceae; Rhaphoneidales; Asterionellopsidaceae
Description: partial Bacterial small subunit ribosomal RNA
Rfam family: Bacterial small subunit ribosomal RNA
Source: RNAcentral
CGCUGGCGGCAGGCUUAACACAUGCAAGUCGAACGAUAUAGUGGCAGACGGGUGAGUAACGCGUGGAAACGUGCCUUUCACUACGGAAUAGCUUUUGGAAACGAAAGGUAAUACCGUAUACGCCCUCCGGGGGAAAGAUUUAUCGGUGAAAGAUCGGUCCGCGUUAGAUUAGCUAGUUGGUGAGGUAAGAGCUCACCAAGGCGACGAUCUAUAGCUGGUCUGAGAGGAUGAUCAGCCACACUGGGACUGAGACACGGCCCAGACUCCUACGGGAGGCAGCAGUGGGGAAUUUUCCGCAAUGGGCGAAAGCCUGACGGAGC